This 468-nucleotide ribosomal RNA is filed under the name uncultured bacterium. RNAcentral's name for it is "partial 16S ribosomal RNA". It matches the Rfam family "Bacterial small subunit ribosomal RNA", at positions 28 to 507 of the family's 1533-position model. The record is from RNAcentral.
GACGAACGCUGGCGGCGUGCUUAACACAUGCAAGUCGAACGGAAAGGCCCUGCUUUUGUGGGGUGCUCGAGUGGCGAACGGGUGAGUAACACGUGAGUAACCUGCCCUUGACUUUGGGAUAACUUCAGGAAACUGGGGCUAAUACCGGAUAGGAGCUCCUGCUGCAUGGUGGGGGUUGGAAAGUUUCGGCGGUUGGGGAUGGACUCGCGGCUUAUCAGCUUGUUGGUGGGGUAGUGGCUGACCAAGGCUUUGACGGGUAGCCGGCCGGAGAGGGUGACCGGCCACAUUGGGCCUGAGAUACGGCCCAGACUCCUACGGUAGGCAGCAGUGGGGAAUAUUGCACAAUGGGCGGAAGCCUGAUGCAGCAACGCCGCGUGCGGGAUGACGGCCUUCGGGUUGUAAACCGCUUUCGCCUGUGACGAAGCGUGAGUGACGGUAAUGGGUAAAGAAGCACCGGCUAACUACGUG